GACGUUGAAGGUGAAUUGGUUGCACCACUGCCGUGCCAAGGCAGAGUUUGUGGGUUCGAGCCCCAUCAGCGUCU
This 74-nucleotide transfer RNA is filed under the name Microscilla marina ATCC 23134. It matches the Rfam family "tRNA". Rfam says of the family: Transfer RNA (tRNA) molecules are approximately 80 nucleotides in length. Their secondary structure includes four short double-helical elements and three loops (D, anti-codon, and T loops). Lineage: Bacteria; Pseudomonadati; Bacteroidota; Cytophagia; Cytophagales; Microscillaceae. The record is from Rfam by way of RNAcentral.